UGAGGUGUGAAAGUAUCGUAGCAACUCCUAGUCCAUCACUAAGUCUAUCUUUCCUCAGGGACGAUCAAAGGUAAGCUUGGGGGAGUUUGUUGACGGUAGAUAAGUACUCUGUUUAACCGUCAACAUAGCAUGAGAAAGGACUUGAAUCAGAAUACUAUCUAGCUAUAGGGGUAAUCACUGAUAGAAUUUCACAAGUUUUGUGAUUGUCUAUUUUUUCAUGGGGUUAUCAGAAUAAUAAAAAAGGAGGUCCACAUGUCAGAUUUACAUAG
This 269-nucleotide long non-coding RNA is filed under the name Sorghum bicolor (sorghum). RNAcentral describes it as "long non-coding RNA (SBIC_LNC014335)". Lineage: Eukaryota; Viridiplantae; Streptophyta; Magnoliopsida; Poales; Poaceae. The record is from RNAcentral.